ACACUACAAAGUUGGGAAGCGAUUAGAUAAGUAAAUUCUUCAAAAAAAUUCACGAAAAUUCUCUUAUUUUUAGCGUUCUAUAGUGCUUUCCCCCCUUAAGUUUAAUUUAUAAAAAACAAAAAACAUCAGAAAUAGAAAUUAAAGAUUCGAAAUCUAUCGGGUGACAGAUUUCCACAUGAUUUCGCAGAAACAAAAAAUACUUGGCUCGUGUAACUAAUUUUCUCUUAUCUGAGAACCACAUAUACAGAUGAAAACUUCAUUGUAGAAAUAGAGAGAUUUCAGUUGUCGUCGUCCGUUGUCUUAAUCGAGUUUUAACGCCGAAUGUCCAAAGAUAUGUUUCCGGUCAGGAUAUCGGAGAUAUCAUUUCUGGGUCAUGAAUUAUCGUCUAGUCUCUAUUCGGUUACAUAAACUAAAGUCUUUUUGCUAUGCACAAAUACGAGAGUGGGAACGUCAGCGAUAUAAUUUAUGCGUUUCAAAAUUAGGGUCAUGUAAACGCCAAACAAGAAAAUCGCAUCUUGCUUUUGUCGCAAAAUCAUGGCGCCAGUUUCGUCAGAAACGCGACAAUGUGAAGGAAAAUACGGCGGACGACUAUUCUGCGGGCACUCCUACGUAAAUAGCCAAUCGAGUUUCGCCUUCAUUCGCGCGCGAUGUCACGUCGCUCGCAGACUUACGUAGUAAUUUUCUAUUUUUAGCGGAAUAAAUAGCCCGAUGAUGUUGCACGAGGCGUCGUAAUUCUCGCCGUAACUUUCGUUAGAUAAAGAGAAACAUAUCUCCUCUCUCGCGGUAACGACAACGUGACGUGCCUCCAGGCAUACCCACCCAAUCGACCAAUCAUGCGCCACAGCGCGACCGAGUGUUCUCCUUCGUCGUCGUUACGAGUCCCAGUAAAGGUGAACCCAUUGUAGAACUACUUAGCGUAAAAAGUGCAAUGGGAAUUAGAAUUUACUGUUCUUUUUCUGCCAAGAGAUUCUGACGCUCUGAUUGUUCCACUCACAGGCAGACUUUUAAACAUCUCGGUCACGUGCAAAAAUAAAUCGUGUUAAGUCCCAGACUCUUGAGAGAAUCGCAAAGUCGAUUAUUUACCCGGAUUGAAUUGACAACUCACUCGUUACUUAAACGGAACUCAUUGGUAGGUUUACGGACGAGAAAUGUGCACGCAACCCGCGAGCGAUGCGAACCCCUGUCUCGGUCGAUACCGUCGUGGAUUUACGUCACCGUAGACGCACGAUCGAAAGUGAAAAUCCACCUGUUGAAAAUGUCAUAUUAAAUCACACGCGAAUAAUGCUGCAUGAUAUUGCACGCAAUUAGUUUAAAUUUUUUUCUUUUUCUCAGAUUUGACUCUUGGCUGAGGUAGUAUUUUCUACAACAUAAAAUGGAGCCAAUUAAUACGUCAAUCAAUAGUUAGUUGAUAUAAGAAUGUGAGGAGAGGGAAAUUUAUCGUCUUAAUUGGGAAUUAAAGGUAAGUUUGAACAGGUAAAAUAAAGUUCACUGAGUACGUUUGGAAAUAAAAAACGAAGAAUAAUUCGAUGAGUGCGUCUAACUUGCUUCAAACAAGAUUCUUAAGUGAAUUAUUCUAUUUAACAUAGAACGUACUAAAAAACCGCGAUUUACAGAUUAUAUUCUCUUCACGUUAAAUAGUUUUCUUUCUUUUUUUGUGUUAAAGUAUGUGCGGCCUACCUUAUUCUGUGAAAAGUUUUGGACCCAAAUUAGUUACCCAAAUUAGAACCCAAAUUAUUUUGUAGUUUUUAGCGAUUACGAAUAUGAAAUGUUCGAAGGUGGAACUGACGUUCCAGAGAAAAUGACCCAUUCAAAAUUACACCCCACCAGAUAGCGUCACUUAUUUUCAUAAAAUAAAAAUGUUGAUUUGCCAUACAAUUUAUUUCUCGACAGCGUUUGACUUUACUGGUGGUUUCAAAAUGUAAUCAAACGAACCAAUUAAUUCAGUUUGGCCGUGCCAACUGUUUGAGAAUCUAUUGGAAUCUGUCGGACGCUUUUGAAAUUCAACUCAGUCAUCCUUUUUCUAGGGACGACACCUGAAACUGUCGCUGUGAUUCACUGAAGAUGAUUUCGUCAUUGCAAUUUGCUAUCUAGUUUUACUUUUUAUUGUAAAAAUAAAUGGUGCUAAGUGCAAUUUUAAAUGAGCCAUUUUCUCUGAAAUGGGUACGUCGGCCCACCUUCGGACUUGCAUAUUCGUAAUGCAAUACCAAAAACUAUAAAAUAGAUAUAAAAGACCAAUCUGAAUUCAAAACUUUUUUGUGAAUAAAGUAGGCCGCAUAUUUUAACAGAAAAAAGGAAGAAAACACAAUCUAACGUGAAAAAAGUGGUUCGUAAAUCGCGGUUCUUUGGUGCGUUCUAUGUAAAAUAGAAUAAUUCACGAAAAUAGCCUAUAGGUAUUUCGCCGUACUCUUUCACACAUAGAUGAAAAUCAGGGAAAUAUUUCACCGCCAUGUACAAUAAACGACACAGCUUUACAUGAAAAAGAAUGACUCAUAAGUCGAAUUAAAUCGGAGGAAAUUUAAUCUUGCAGUGCAAAAGUUACGAGUUAAUUUAUCAGAAUCGAAAUAAUUCAUUAGGAUUGGUAUUACACAAUGAUUAUAUUCUUUUUUAAGCGGUACGUGGUGCUUAAAAAAGAAAGCAUAUUAAUCAAAUGUUUAGAAUUCCAUUCAGGUCAAAUGUGCGCGGACACGCGCAUUACGAGCGUACAACGCGUUCUGAGUAUUGCGUCACGCGCGGGCAAACUUCAUCUAUUAUGUCUCGUUGCACCCAAUGGCGUAACUGACUGUUUCAUAUGACAGUGUUUUAAUAUAAGAAAGAAGCAGGAGCUGGAAGAAAGGAAUGAGAAGGAGAAGAAGGAGUAGAACAUCGCAAGAGAGAUAUAUUUUUCCUGUUAGUGUAUACUUUAUAUAAAAUUGAACUUAGGACAAGAUUGGGGAGACGAUAAAUGAUCAAAAUUUAGAACAUUGUUGAAAGAUGUGAGAUUAAAAGAGUUUAUUGAAUAUUAGUUACGCCGCUGCUUGCAACGACACGGAUAUUGGCGAAACUAUUGCUUGCGGUUGCGACGAUCGGAUCAGCCGUGACGUAAAACGAUCGUUGCACUAAAUAAUGCUGAAUGCAUAAUAAAAACAUUGACACAACCACGGUGCAUAGGCGCGUUUUUCACCAGUAUCUUAUUAAAAAACCGAGAAAGUGAAGUGUAAACAUAUCACUGGAUAAAUUCAUCGCGAUUGCGUAACUCUCGAGUGACGCCUAAAUCUUGAUCGGACGAGAAGUGCGCGACAAUUCGAAGCGACACAAAGAUAAUGAUGGAAAGUAAACAAACUCGCAGACGAUUGGCUUCAUACAGAUCAUAUAUUAUCGAGAAAAAGGAAAUGUUUAAAAAUUUAUUUGUGAAAUAGAAGUUUACGCUUCGCAGAAAUAAACUUUAUUUCACAGAAAUAUACUUUGUAUCCCACAAAUAAAUUUUCAGGUGCAAGCUUCGUCUCAUCGUGCGAAGAAAGGCGAGGAAAGAGAAAAGCGCGGGAAGAAAACUUGUUUUUUGUGACAUACGGAAUUCUUCCCCACGAUAAUUAUCCCAGACGUCGGCCUACGCUCCGGGAAAAUUCCCGAACGCGGUAUCACACAAGAGCACGGGCGUUUGCGCGUCCAUUAAAACAGUUGACAAUAUUCGGCGUUUCCACAACGGCGAGUAGCCAACAGGCGAACCACAGGGUCUAGUGUGUAUCCCGCCAAACACUUUCCUCGUUUCGAACGGGUCUAUAGGUGAGUGGACAUCGCGUCAUCGUAUUCAACAUUUUCCAUCCCGUCGCGGAGACCUGCGUGUUACGUAAGAAUAAUUUUCCGAUUGUGACAGAAACCGGUCGGAAACCGAUUUUUAUAGUGUGCAUAAUGUGAACAGGCUUGGAAUAUUUACAUAUAAUGACACGCGAGAGACAUGCCUUGAGCGAAAUAUCGUUUCAAAAUGCAACGGGGUGCAUCGUUGAUGUGAUCGCGCUCUUUAAACGCGACCGUGCACUGCUAUUUGUAUUUUACCGCGACGCGUUACAUAUGUCUCGGAUACGAGACACCAUCUCGUAACUGAAAUUAAACGCGGGUCCUGCGUAUAACGGCAUUUACAUAGUCCGCGAAACGCGAGCGCGUGUGUCGCCUCGAAUAACCGCGAUUUCAACACCGCCCUAAAAAUAGAGUGUUUCUAUCGUACGUUUUUCAAUAUAGAUAUUCCCAUUCGUGAUAUGGCGCACUCUGCGCGAAAUGCAUCUGGCGCGUCUCUGGACGUUAAUAAGCGUAUAUCAAUAUCGUUCUCAGCGGCAACGACCAUCUCUUUCUCUCAUGUGAAUCGUUUGGCUCACGUUUAAUUACGCGAGAGAUACGCGAAGAUUUGUCCUCGCGCGAAAAAGAGCGAACUUCGCUCGCUCGUUCUUGUUUCUUCAUUCAAUGAACGUAUCGUGACAAAGACUCACCUUCCGCGCCGACAGCGGUAUGGUCGUCUCUCUGGUGUAUAUCGGAACAUCGAGGUCGCUGACGCUGCUGCUGAUGCUGGGCGCGCGUGAAUCCGAACGUCCACCGAGCGGCACCGACAGAUGCGUCGGCCUCAGCGGGUGCGACUCCGCGAUGUAGCCCUCGCCAAAGUCCUCGUCCUCUCGGUUCAUCUGUCCCAAAAACGCGAGUUUGCAAUUAGAAGCAAAGGUCACGCGUCACAAAGUCACAUAUUCCUUCUAUCUCUCGUUCUCACUCUCGCUCUUUUCGAAUAUUAUCCGACAUAAGACAAAACAGAAUAUGUAAUACACAACGAGAUAAAUCACGUGUUUAUAAAAAAAAAAUAUAUAUAUAUAUAUAUAUAUAUAUAUA
This is a long non-coding RNA of Odontomachus brunneus, 4845 nucleotides long. RefSeq lists it as uncharacterized. The transcript is spliced from 2 exons. Lineage: Eukaryota; Metazoa; Arthropoda; Insecta; Hymenoptera; Formicidae. The record is from RefSeq and is a predicted model, not a curated record.